AUUAGGUUGGCAGAAUUAUGUGACUGACUUAGGAUCAGUAGAAAUAGGUGAAAACCCUUUACCUACUA
Molecule: transfer RNA, 68 nt
Filed under: Tegula brunnea (brown turban snail)
Lineage: Eukaryota; Metazoa; Mollusca; Gastropoda; Trochida; Tegulidae
Description: Chlorostoma brunnea (brown turban snail) tRNA-Leu
Rfam family: tRNA
About the family: Transfer RNA (tRNA) molecules are approximately 80 nucleotides in length. Their secondary structure includes four short double-helical elements and three loops (D, anti-codon, and T loops).
Source: RNAcentral